RNAcentral lists this transfer RNA (78 nucleotides) under Candidatus Babelota bacterium. RNAcentral describes it as "tRNA-Glu". It matches the Rfam family "tRNA". From Rfam's summary of the family: Transfer RNA (tRNA) molecules are approximately 80 nucleotides in length. Their secondary structure includes four short double-helical elements and three loops (D, anti-codon, and T loops). The record is from RNAcentral.
GUCCCCAUCGUCUAGCCCGGUCUAGGACACAAGAUUCUCAUUCUUGUAACAGGGGUUCGAAUCCCCUUGGGGACGCCA